GACGAACGCUGGCGGCGUGCUUAACACAUGCAAGUCGAACGGAAAGGCCCUGCUUUUGUGGGGUGCUCGAGUGGCGAACGGGUGAGUAACACGUGAGUAACCUGCCCUUGACUUUGGGAUAACUUCAGGAAACUGGGGCUAAUACCGGAUAGGAGCUCCUGCUGCAUGGUGGGGGUUGGAAAGUUUCGGCGGUUGGGGAUGGACUCGCGGCUUAUCAGCUUGUUGGUGGGGUAGUGGCUUACCAAGGCUUUGACGGGUAGCCGGCCUGAGAGGGUGACCGGCCACAUUGGGACUGAGAUACGGCCCAGACUCCUACGGGGGGCAGCAGUGGGUAAUAUUGCACAAUGGGCGGAAGCCUGAUGCAGCAACGCCGCGUGCGGGAUGACGGCCUUCGGGUUGUAAACCGCUUUCGCCUGUGACGAAGCGUGAGUGACGGUAAUGGGUAAAGAAGCACCGGCUAACUACGUG
Molecule: ribosomal RNA, 468 nt
Filed under: uncultured bacterium
Lineage: Bacteria
Description: partial 16S ribosomal RNA
Rfam family: Bacterial small subunit ribosomal RNA
Source: RNAcentral